RNAcentral lists this small nuclear RNA (106 nucleotides) under Notamacropus eugenii (tammar wallaby). Lineage: Eukaryota; Metazoa; Chordata; Mammalia; Diprotodontia; Macropodidae. The record is from RNAcentral.
AUGCUCACUUUGGCAGCACAUAUACUAAAUUGGAAUGAUACAGAGAAGAUUAACAGAGCCCCUGGGAAAAGCUGACAUGCAAAUUCAAGAAGGAUUCUAUAUUUGU